Zophobas morio is the source of this 381-nucleotide long non-coding RNA. RefSeq lists it as uncharacterized. The record is from RefSeq and is a predicted model, not a curated record. Lineage: Eukaryota; Metazoa; Arthropoda; Insecta; Coleoptera; Tenebrionidae. The transcript has 2 exons.
AUCCAGUUUGAGUGCAUGGAAACUUAAUGUCAGGUGAUCGCAAUUUUGUGCUAAUAUUGGUGGAAUCGGUUAAAAUUGAAUAAACCCUUUAAAUAUAUUUUUUUUUAAGCGAAAAGUGCAUUUAAUAUCCACAUUUACCUUUUGAUUUUAUUUCUCCUUGGGACUGGUGAUUAGGAAAAACCGACUAAGAUAUUCUCUCGCGUAUCGCGACGGGAUGAAAGAAAUCCCCUAAUUCAUCUAUAUAAAACAGUCUCUGACUUCUUGUUGCAGUAGUAUCAACACCGCAAUCUACAGUACACCACGAUGAACAAGUUAACACUCUCCUUCGUUCUUGCAAUUUUUGCCUUUGUGUGUAGCUGCCAAGUUAGUUCGCUGCCAGUU